Long non-coding RNA from Glycine soja, 204 nucleotides. RefSeq lists it as uncharacterized. The transcript has 3 exons. The record is from RefSeq and is a predicted model, not a curated record. NCBI's taxonomy places the organism in Eukaryota, Viridiplantae, Streptophyta, Magnoliopsida, Fabales, Fabaceae.
UGCAGGCAGGAAGACUUGGGAGGAUACUAAUGAGGAGAGAGCAAUUGUACUUUACAAGCCUGAUGCACAACCACCUCAAGCAAAUGGAAGCACCACAUUGGAAGGAAGCUCAAAAGUUCAUCUUCUGAAAGUCCUAGAGACACGUAAGUCAGCAUUGCAGAAAGAGCAAGGCAUGGCAUUUGCUCAUGUUGUUGCUGCUGGUUU